CCUACGGGAGGCAGCAGUAAGGAAUAUUGGUCAAUGGAGGCAACUCUGAACCAGCCAUGCCGCGUGCAGGAAGACUGCCCUAUGGGUUGUAAACUGCUUUUAUCCGGGAAUAAACCUACUUACGUGUAAGUAGCUGAAUGUACCGGAAGAAUAAGGAUCGGCUAACUCCGUGCCAGCAGCCGCGGUAAUACGGAGGAUCCAAGCGUUAUCCGGAUUUAUUGGGUUUAAAGGGUGCGUAGGCGGCCUGUUAAGUCAGGGGUGAAAGACGGUAGCUCAACUAUCGCAGUGCCCUUGAUACUGAUGGGCUUGAAUGGACUAGGGGUAGGCGGAAUGAGACAAGUAGCGGUGAAAUGCAUAGAUAUGUCUCAGAACACCGAUUGCGAAGGCAGCUUACUAUGGUCUUAUUGACGCUGAGGCACGAAAGCGUGGGGAUCAAACAGGAUUAGAUACCCUGGUAGUCCACGCCCUAAACGAUGAACACUCGCUGUUGGCGAUACACAGUCAGCGGCUAAGCGAAAGCGUUAAGUGUUCCACCUGGGGAGUACGCCCGCAAGGGUGAAACUCAAAGGAAUUGACGG
RNAcentral lists this ribosomal RNA (578 nucleotides) under uncultured bacterium. RNAcentral's name for it is "bacterial SSU rRNA". It matches the Rfam family "Bacterial small subunit ribosomal RNA", at positions 338 to 916 of the family's 1533-position model. The record is from RNAcentral.